Molecule: long non-coding RNA, 233 nt
Organism: Orcinus orca (killer whale)
Lineage: Eukaryota; Metazoa; Chordata; Mammalia; Artiodactyla; Delphinidae
Exons: 2
Source: RefSeq, a predicted model, not a curated record
GGAAAGCUCAGAUUGCUAAAGCAUCCCUUGGUGAAGUACAAGUAGCUUUUCAAGGCUGGAGCGUAGGGACAUGCUGGGGAGAGGAGAUGGGAGAGAGAAGGAGGAAGCGGUCAGGGUCCACCCACAAAGGGUCACUGAUUGUGCAGAACCUGGCAGCAAAGACACCUGAUGGAUUGGUUAAGGUUUUCCAAACGUCUUUGACCUUGGGACCGUUUCUUUCUUCUUUUUUUUUU